GGCUGUUUGUGUUUCACUUCAAAUCAACUGAAGGAUGCCAAGAAUAAACAUCUGAUGUUAUUUUCUGCUAUUUCAAAGCAAAAAGGGCAAAACAGUGAUGCAGUAUUAGUUCACUGAAGUAUCAAUGAGGAGAAAAAAAAAGUUAGAAUAUUGACAUAACCCAGGCUUAUGUGUUGCUACACAGCAUUUAUCUGGCUGGAGCUCAAAACUCACAAAAACGAAGACGGCCCAAACCAGGAGGAAACCGGCUCCACUGCUUUCCAUUUCUGCUCAUCGACAAAGCUGAGGAAGUCGUCUUUGCUUCGAGCUCCCUGGUACUUCCGGAAGACGCCAUCCUUACAGCUGAAAUGCACACAAAAGCACAAAGACCAUUUAAAAAAGUGUGUACGGGGGGUCCUUGGUUUACGACGUCAGAACUGGUUAGGCGGAACUAGUUGAGAAAACCCACACAUGCACAGGGGGAACAUGCAAAGUCCAUGCAGAAAAAUCACUAACUGGGUAUCUUCUAGCUGCAAGGUGAAAGUGCUAACCACCAAACCACCGUGCAACCUAACUAAGUACUAAUAACAAGGUAAGUUGAGCAGAGAAUAACAAAAUCAGAGCAAAUAAAUCCUCAUAAGUAGCAGUAUUUAUAGUGUGUGUGCUAAUCAAUAACAAUUGCACUGCAUCAUGCAAUUAUCAUGUGUUUAUAUAUUCCUUUCUAGCUGUAAAUUUCUGUAUAUAUUGUGUUAUAUUUAAUUUUAUUUGUACUAUUUUUUUCCCUCCCUGUUCCUCUUUCUAUAGUUUCUUUAUUUUUUAUUGUUCUCUUUCAUAUUCCUAGGGUGACACCAACAGCCGAAACCAAAUUCCUUGUAUGUUGUGUACGUACUUAGCCAUUAAAGCUCAUUCUUAUUGUGAUAACUGUGAAAUAAGUAACCAAUAAUCGUUAAUAGAGCUAGCCUCUAUUCUACAAUAACUGAAUUCUUGUAGUUUACAGGGUUUCUGCAGAAAUCAGCCAGUCAAAUUUAAUGCUUUUUAAUGCCAUUUUAAUGCUAUACUGUAAAAAUUGUAAUGCCACGACUGCAAAUGCAACAAAUUACACAGAUUUGUUUUUUUUAAAAGGUGAUUUUUAUUUGAAAACUGUCCCUACAUUUCACUGUUUCCGAAUCUGGAAACCACCCCCUGACCACCCAAUUAUCGCAGUGCUUCGGCAUGUUUACGCAGAUGCACAUAUCUGACGAAUCGCCGUCUACAAUUAGAUAUUAUUAUAUUAAUUAUUGUCAAAUACUUCUCUUGAAAACUGCAGAAAGAAUUUUUAAUGCCACUGAGAAUCAAAUUUCAUGAUUUUUAAUGCCAUUUAAGGCCUUAAUGCUUAUUAAUGCCCUGCAGAAACCCUGGUUUAGUUCUGGCUUUUGGUUUUGAUUUGAAGAUUUUCUGUUAACCCAUCUGGCACCAGCUAAGGAAAUGCUCUGGUUGCACCCCUGUCCAGUAUGGAAACCAUUAACUGGAGGAUAUGCAUGCAAGCACAAGUCACAGUGUGGUAUGCGGUUGGGAAACAGGGCUCAUUCAGGCCUACCGGGCUGCUCUGUCACGUCCACCUUGGCUAUGUUGACCCCCAUGUCCUCCCCCCAGUCCGCAAACUCCUUCCACACCGGCUGCAGCUGCUGACACGCCGGACACCAGGGUGCGUAGCUGAGGAGGGGGGGCAAAGUUUCACAAGUAAACACCCAAAUAAACCGCACAGUCACUCACAUUAACGCGAAAAUUAGCAUUCAAAGCUGCUCGUGUACUUUAAUAGCAUGUUAGUUAGCAAACUAGCUAGCAUAUAAGUGUGGUGCGCUAAAGACGGCAGCUGUUAACGUAGUUUACACGUGUUCACAACUUUAAAGCAGACAAAAUAACAAUCGUAUAAGUCGGAAUAUUCACGCUUAAGCGGAUUCGAGAGUUAAAAUGACGUUUUGGUUUUUUUUUUGUUAACGAGCUGGAAAUGAAACUGUCAAGCUAUCUAGCUGGUUAGCCGUUAGCAGUGGACGUUAGCAGGUCACUGACAAUUCAAUCAUCCACUCUCCCGUCAGGAUGUCCUCCCAGUUCCCGUCCGUCACUUCUCUCAGGCUGUCCGGUUUGGCCGAGACCGACGAUAGAUAAAUCCCCAGCAGUAAAAAGCGCAUCCAUGAGCGGUGUCCGGCUCGUCGAGGUAAAGAAAACAUUGUUGUGCUGCCGCUAGCUAGCAAACACGCCAUGACUGAGCCGCUCACUUCCGCUGUGCGCCUCAUUAACGUCCGAGUCAGCUGGAGGCAGAGUUACAGUAAAAAUAAAAAGAUUUAAAAAAAAAAAAAAAAAAAAAAAAAGAUAAAUAAACAAAUAAAAUCUCUAUGCCUCUAUACACUAAAACAAGUAAAAAUGCAUAAAUAAAACUUGGAGUCGAAAAUAAAAACCAAACGUCAUAACUGCAUUUUAAAAAUACUUUUUCUGGUGUUGUAGUGAGUAGGUUAGUAGAUGAGUCAAAAAAGAAUAAUCACACACUACAUUUCUAAAUAUUUUACUCUUUUUUUGACAAUAAAAUAACAUCUUGA
Molecule: long non-coding RNA, 2552 nt
Organism: Amphiprion ocellaris (clown anemonefish)
Lineage: Eukaryota; Metazoa; Chordata; Actinopteri; Pomacentridae
Exons: 2
Source: RefSeq, a predicted model, not a curated record